GGAGAGGUGCAUGAGUGGCUUAAAUGGACGGUUUGCUAAACCGUUGUACCGUGUUAAAGCGGUACCGAGGGUUCGAAUCCCUCCCUCUCCG
RNAcentral lists this transfer RNA (91 nucleotides) under Patescibacteria group bacterium. Its description in RNAcentral is "tRNA-Ser". It matches the Rfam family "tRNA". From Rfam's summary of the family: Transfer RNA (tRNA) molecules are approximately 80 nucleotides in length. The record is from RNAcentral.